AGGACGAACGCUGGCGGCGUGCUUAACACAUGCAAGUCGUGGGCAUCUCGCAAGGGAUGACCGGCGAACGGGUGCGUAACACGUGAGCGACCUACCGAUGCGCGGGGGAUAGCCGGCCCAACGGCCGGGUAAUACCGCAUACGCCAUUCUAGCUGCAUGGCUUGAAUGGGAAACCUCCGGGGCGGAUCGAGGGGCUCGCGACCUAUCAGCUAGUUGGCGGGGUAACGGCCCACCAAGGCGACGACGGGUAGCUGGU
This 256-nucleotide ribosomal RNA is filed under the name uncultured bacterium. RNAcentral's name for it is "partial small subunit ribosomal RNA". It matches the Rfam family "Bacterial small subunit ribosomal RNA", at positions 26 to 291 of the family's 1533-position model. The record is from RNAcentral.